RNAcentral lists this ribosomal RNA (1445 nucleotides) under Arcobacter sp. RNAcentral's name for it is "bacterial SSU rRNA". It matches the Rfam family "Bacterial small subunit ribosomal RNA". Lineage: Bacteria; Pseudomonadati; Campylobacterota; Epsilonproteobacteria; Campylobacterales; Arcobacteraceae. The record is from RNAcentral.
UUUAUGGAGAGUUUGAUCCUGGCUCAGAGUGAACGCUGGCGGCGUGCUUAACACAUGCAAGUCGAACGAGAAACGGUCUAGCUUGCUAGAUGCAGUCUAAGUGGCGCACGGGUGAGUAAUAUAUAGGUAAUAUGCCUCUUACUAAGGGAUAUUAAGAGAUUAGCCUGUAUUGUAUCAGUUAGUUGGUGGGGUAAUGGCCUACCAAGACUAUGACACAUAACUGGUUUGAGAGGAUGAUCAGUCACACUGGAACUGAGACACGGUCCAGACUCCUACGGGAGGCAGCAGUGGGGAAUAUUGCACAAUGGACGAAAGUCUGAUGCAGCAACGCCGCGUGGAGGAUGACACAUUUCGGUGCGUAAACUCCUUUUAUAUGAGAAGAUAAUGACGGUACUAUAUGAAUAAGCACCGGCUAACUCCGUGCCAGCAGCCGCGGUAAUACGGGGGUGCAAGCGUUACUCGGAAUCACUGGGCGUAAAGAGCAUGUAGGCGGAUUGAUAAGUUUGAAGUGAAAUCCUAUAGCUUAACUAUAGAACUGCUUUGAAAACUGUUAAUCUAGAAUGUGGGAGAGGUAGAUGGAAUUUCUGGUGUAGGGGUAAAAUCCGUAGAGAUCAGAAGGAAUACCGAUUGCGAAGGCGAUCUACUGGAACAUUAUUGACGCUGAGAUGCGAAAGCGUGGGGAGCAAACAGGAUUAGAUACCCUGGUAGUCCACGCCCUAAACGAUGUACACUAGUUGUUGUGAGACUUGAUCUUGCAGUAAUGCAGUUAACACAUUAAGUGUACCGCCUGGGGAGUACGGUCGCAAGAUUAAAACUCAAAGGAAUAGACGGGGACCCGCACAAGCGGUGGAGCAUGUGGUUUAAUUCGACGAUACACGAAGAACCUUACCUGGACUUGACAUAGUAAGAACUUUCUAGAGAUAGAUUGGUGUCUGCUUGCAGAAACUUAUAUACAGGUGCUGCACGGCUGUCGUCAGCUCGUGUCGUGAGAUGUUGGGUUAAGUCCCGCAACGAGCGCAACCCUCGUGUUUAGUUGCUAACAGUUCGGCUGAGAACUCUAAACAGACUGCCUACGCAAGUAGGAGGAAGGUGAGGACGACGUCAAGUCAUCAUGGCCCUUACGUCCAGGGCUACACACGUGCUACAAUGGGAUAUACAAAGAGCGGCAAUACGGUGACGUGGAGCAAAUCUUAUAAAAUAUCUCCCAGUUCGGAUUGUAGUCUGCAACUCGACUACAUGAAGUUGGAAUCGCUAGUAAUCGUAGAUCAGCUAUGCUACGGUGAAUACGUUCCCGGGUCUUGUACUCACCGCCCGUCACACCAUGGGAGUCGAACUCAUUCGAAGCGGGGAUGCUAAAAUAGCUACCUUCCACAGUGGAUUUGGCGACUGGGGUGAAGUCGUAACAAGGUAACCGUAGGAGAACCUGCGGUUGGAUCACCUCCUUU